CCUUGUUACUCAGCUAUAAAAACUUCCCAUCAGGCUGUCAGUGGAGUUCACAGCACGUCAGUUUCAACAUAAACCAUGUUUUCUGUAGCUCUGCUGCUGCUGUUGGCAGCUGGAUGUGUGAAGUGUGAACAGCUGACACAGCCAGCCUCUGUGACUGUGCAGCCAGGUCAACGUCUGACCAUCACCUGUCAGGUCUCUUAUUCUGUUAGCAGCUAUCGCACAGCUUGGAACAGACAGCCUGCAGGGAAAGGACUGGAGUGGAUUGGAAGUGGACAUGUUGGAUACACAACAUAUUACAAAGAUUCACUAAAGAACAAGUUCAGUAUCGACUUAGACUCUUCCAGCAACACAGUGACUCUAAACGGACAGAAUGUGCAGCCUGAAGACACUGCUGUGUAUUACUGUGCCAGAGAGCCACAAUAACACAAACCAUCAGUAGACCUGAACAAAAACCCCUCAGUGCCUGAACACUUGUAACAUGAAGCCACCAGAGGAGGAGCCCUCAGACCACUGAUGGUUUCAACACCA
Molecule: non-coding RNA, 528 nt
Organism: Siniperca chuatsi (mandarin fish)
Lineage: Eukaryota; Metazoa; Chordata; Actinopteri; Centrarchiformes; Sinipercidae
Source: the annotation of a RefSeq genome assembly